This 388-nucleotide ribosomal RNA is filed under the name uncultured bacterium. RNAcentral's name for it is "bacterial SSU rRNA". It matches the Rfam family "Bacterial small subunit ribosomal RNA", at positions 28 to 417 of the family's 1533-position model. The record is from RNAcentral.
GACGAACGCUGGCGGCGUGCUUAACACAUGCAAGUCGAGCGGUAAGGCCCUUUCGGGGGUACACGAGCGGCGAACGGGUGAGUAACACGUGGGUGACCUGCCCUCAGCUCUGGGAUAAGCCUGGGAAACCGGGUCUAAUACUGGAUAUGACUCCAUGACGCAUGUUGUGGGGUGGAAAGCCUUGUGCGGCUGAGGAUGGGCCCGCGGCCUAUCAGCUUGUUGGUGGGGUGAUGGCCUACCAAGGCGACGACGGGUAGCCGGCCUGAGAGGGCGACUGGCCACACUGGGACUGAGACACGGCCCAGACUCCUACGGGAGGCAGCAGUGGGGAAUCUUGCGCAAUGGGCGAGAGCCUGACGCAGCGACGCCGCGUGAGGGAUGACGGCCU